ACAAUUGUCGUAAAUAGAAGUUAAAAACAAAACUAAGCUACGCUUCGGCUUAACCUUCUUUUUUUUCUCUCCAAAGGAUAACCAUUUUCAUCAACAUGCAAAACUACAUUGGGAAGCGACAUCAAACCAGGUGUCGGCUUCCAAGCCAAACGUCCAUGAAGUGUAGUGUCUCCAUAAUCUACUAUUUUAUCGUAGUAGUUAUAUAAAUCAUCCCAAUUAUGUAUAUUUUGGAGAGGGGCAUCAUACACGAUCCUACCAGUUUUUUGAUAUGCUAGUUUUACUGCUUGUAAACGUG
Non-coding RNA from Schizosaccharomyces pombe (fission yeast), 295 nucleotides. The record is from the annotation of a GenBank genome assembly. Lineage: Eukaryota; Fungi; Ascomycota; Schizosaccharomycetes; Schizosaccharomycetales; Schizosaccharomycetaceae.